GGGGGGGGGGGGGGGGGGGGGGGGGGGGGGGGGGGGGGGCGGGGGGCCGAGGGGCUUGCUCCUGAGACGGUAGCGGCGGGCGGGUGGGGGACGCGGUGAGACCCUCCCUGUCAGACUGUGGUCACUUCUGGGAACCGUGGCUCAUACCGGAUACUAUCUUUCACCCCCUUGUUCCCUGUGUCAAGCCCUCAUUUCUUCCCCUUCUCGUCUCGUCCGGGCCUCAUUAGCUAGAUGGUAAGUUAACGGUUUACCAAGGUACCGCUGCGUAGCCGACCUGAGAGGGUGAUCGGCAACACUGGAACUGAGACACGGUCCAGACUCCUACGGGAGGCAGCAGUAGGGAAUCUUCCGCAAUGGGCGAAAGCCUGACGGAGCAACGCCGCGUGAGUGAUGAAGGUCUUCGGAUCGUAAAACUCUGUUAUUAGGGAAGAACAAAUGUGUAAGUAACUAUGCACGUCUUGACGGUACCUAAUCAGAAAGCCACGGCUAACUACGUG
Molecule: ribosomal RNA, 497 nt
Filed under: uncultured bacterium
Lineage: Bacteria
Description: partial 16S ribosomal RNA
Rfam family: Bacterial small subunit ribosomal RNA
Source: RNAcentral